Non-coding RNA from Phrynosoma platyrhinos (Desert horned lizard), 72 nucleotides. The record is from the annotation of a GenBank genome assembly. Lineage: Eukaryota; Metazoa; Chordata; Lepidosauria; Squamata; Phrynosomatidae.
GCCGGUGUGGCAUAGUGGUUUGAGCAUUGGACUACAACUUGGGAAACCAGGGUUCGAUUCCUAGCUUGGCCA